RNAcentral lists this ribosomal RNA (1469 nucleotides) under uncultured Bordetella sp. RNAcentral's name for it is "partial 16S-23S ribosomal RNA intergenic spacer". It matches the Rfam family "Bacterial small subunit ribosomal RNA". The record is from RNAcentral. Lineage: Bacteria; Pseudomonadati; Pseudomonadota; Betaproteobacteria; Burkholderiales; Alcaligenaceae.
AGUUCGAUCACAAGCUCAGAUUAGACGCUGGCGGGAUGCUUACAUGCAAGUCGAACGGCAGCACGGACUUCGUUCUCGGUGGCGAGUGGCGAACGGGCAGGUAAUGUAUCGGAACGUGCCUAGUAGCGAAGGGGAUAACUACGCGAAAGCGUAUGUACCGCAUACGCCCUUCGGGGGAAAGCGGGGGACCUUCGGGCCUCGCGCUGUUAGGCGGCCCGAUAUCGGAUUAGCUAGUUGGUGGGGUAACGGCUCACCAAGGCGACGAUCCGUAGCUGGUUUGAAGGACGACCAGCCGCACUGGGACUGAGACACGGCCCAGACUCCUGCAGGGAGCAGCAGUGAAAUUUUUGGACAAUGGGGAAGCCUGAUCGCUUCAUCCGCGUGUGCGAUGAAGGCCUUCGGGUUGUAAAGCACUUUUGGCAGGAAAAAGCAGCGCGGGAUAUUACCCGUGCAGCUGACCGGUACCUGCUGGGAAUGGCGCCGGCUGGCUGCGUUGCCAGCAGCCGCGGUAAUACGUAGGUGCAAGUCGGGAUUACUGGGCGUAAAGCGUGCGCAGGCGGUUCGGAAAGAAGAUGUGAAAUCCCAGAGCUUAACUUUGGAACUGCAUUUUUAACUACCGAGCUAGAGUGUGUCAGAGAGGUGGAAUUCCGCGUGUAGCAGUGAAAUGCGUAGAUAUGCGGAGGAACACCGAUGGCGAAGGCUGACCUCCUGGGAUAACACUGACGCUCAUGCACAGCGUGGGAGCAAGCGAAGUUAGAUACCUGGUAGUCCACGCCUAAACGAUGUCAGCUGCUUUCUUCGGGGCCUUCGGGCCUUGGUAAUGCAGCUAGCGUGAAGUUGACCGCCUGCAGAUACGGUCGCAAGAUUAAAACUCAAGGAAUUGACGGGGACCCGCACAAGCGGUGGAUGAUGUGGAUUAAUUCGAUGCAGCGCGAAAAACCUUACCUACCCUUGACAUGUCUGGAAUCCCGAAGAGAUUUGGGAGUGCUCGCAAGAGAACCGGAACACAGGUGCUGCAUAGCUGUCGUCAGCUCGUGUCGUGAGAUGUUGGGUUAAGUCCCGCAACGAGCGCAACCCUUGUCAUUAGUUGCUACGAAAGGGCACUCUAAUGAGACUGCCGGUGACAAGCCGGAGGAAGGUGAGGACUGACAUUGAGAUCCUCAUGGCCCGCUUAUGGUGGGGCUUCACACGUCAUACAAUGGUCGGGACAAGAGGUCGCCAACCCGCGAAGGGGAGCCAAUCCCAGAAACCCGAUCGUAGUCCGGAUCGCAGUCUGCAACUCGACUGUGGCGAAGUCGAAUCGCUUCGUAAUCGCGGAUCAGCAUGUCGCGGUGAAUACGUUCCCGGGUCUUGUACACACCGCCCGUCACACCAUGGGAGUGGGUUUUACCAGAAGUAGUUAGCCUAACCGUAAGGAGGGCGAUUACCACGGUAGGAUUCAUGACUGGGGUGAAGUCGUAACAAGGUAG